UUGGAGGGCAAGUCUGGUGCCAGCAGCCGCGGUAAUUCCAGCUCCAAUAGCGUAUAUUAAAGUUGUUGCAGUUAAAGAGCUCGUAGUUGAAUUUCGGGACUAGUACGUCGGUCGUGCCUUAGGUACGUACUGGUGUUACUGGUUCCUACCUUCUGACGAACCAUCAUGUCAUUAAUUUGGUGUGGUGGGGAAUCAGGACUGUUACUUUGAAAAAAUUAGAGUGUUUAAAGCAGGCUCGCGCUUGAAUACAUUAGCAUGGAAUAAUGAAAUAGG
RNAcentral lists this ribosomal RNA (273 nucleotides) under uncultured Glomus. RNAcentral's name for it is "partial 18S ribosomal RNA". It matches the Rfam family "Eukaryotic small subunit ribosomal RNA", at positions 548 to 826 of the family's 1831-position model. The record is from RNAcentral. Lineage: Eukaryota; Fungi; Glomeromycota; Glomeromycetes; Glomerales; Glomeraceae.